Molecule: ribosomal RNA, 441 nt
Filed under: uncultured bacterium
Lineage: Bacteria
Description: partial 16S ribosomal RNA
Rfam family: Bacterial small subunit ribosomal RNA
Source: RNAcentral
CCUACGGGGGGCAGCAGUGGGGAAUAUUGCACAAUGGGGGAAACCCUGAUGCAGCGACGCCGCGUGAGUGAAGAAGUAAUUCUUUAUGUAAAGCUCUAUCAGCAGGGGAGAAAAUGACGGUACCUGAGUAAGAAGCCCCGGCUACCUACGGGCCAGCAGCCGCGGUAAUACGUAUGGGGGCAAGCGGUAUCCGGAUUUACUGGGUGUAAAGGGAGCGUAGACGGCAGUGCAAGUCUGGAGUGAAAGGCGGGGGCUCAACCCCCGGACUGCUCUGGAAACUGUACGGCUGGAGUGCAGGAGAGGUAAGUGGAAUGCCUAGUGUAGCGGUGAAAUGCGUAGAUAUUAGGAGGAACACCAGUGGCGAAGGCGGCGUACUGGACUGUAACUGACGUUGAGGCUCGAAAGCGUGGGGAGCAAACAGGAUUAGAUACCCCAGUAGUC